RNAcentral lists this ribosomal RNA (223 nucleotides) under uncultured bacterium. Its description in RNAcentral is "partial 16S ribosomal RNA". It matches the Rfam family "Bacterial small subunit ribosomal RNA", at positions 524 to 776 of the family's 1533-position model. The record is from RNAcentral.
UACGUAGAAGACUAGUGUUAUUCAUCUUUAAUAGGUUUAAAGGGUACCUAGACGGUAUAAUUAGUCUUUAACAGGAAACGGUUAUACUAGAGUUAUAUAUGAGGAGGUGAGUAUUUGUGGAGUAGAGUUGAAAUUCUUUGAUACCAUGAAGACAGGUAAAGGCGAAAGCAACCUUUUAUCUAAUAACUGACGUUGAGGGACGAAGGCUCGGGUCGCGAACAGG